Podospora australis is the source of this 87-nucleotide non-coding RNA. Lineage: Eukaryota; Fungi; Ascomycota; Sordariomycetes; Sordariales; Podosporaceae. The record is from the annotation of a GenBank genome assembly.
UCCGGUAUAGUGUAACGGUCAACAUACCUCGUUUUCAAGAGUAUCUCACGAUCCGAGGAGCUCGGGGUUCGAUUCCCCGUACCGGAG